This 497-nucleotide ribosomal RNA is filed under the name uncultured bacterium. RNAcentral's name for it is "partial 16S ribosomal RNA". It matches the Rfam family "Bacterial small subunit ribosomal RNA", at positions 28 to 507 of the family's 1533-position model. The record is from RNAcentral.
GAUGAACGCUGGCGGCGUGCCUAAUACAUGCAAGUCGAGCGAACGGACGAGAAGCUUGCUUCUCUGAUGUUAGCGGCGGACGGGUGAGUAACACGUGGAUAACCUACCUAUAAGACUGGGAUAACUUCGGGAAACCGGAGCUAAUACCGGAUGAUAUUUUGAACCGCAUGGUUCAAAAGUGAAAGACGGUCUUGCUGUCACUUAUAGAUGGAUCCGCGCUGCAUUAGCUAGUUGGUAAGGUAACGGCUUACCAAGGCAACGAUGCAUAGCCGACCGGAGAGGGAGAUCGGCCACCCUGAAAAUGAAACAAGCUCCGAACUCCACGGGGAGGGGCCGGUGGGGAACUUCCCGAAAUGGGGGAAAGCCUGACGGAGAAAGCCCGAGUGAGUUAUAAGGGUCUUGGGAUCGUAAAACUGUGUUAUUGGGGAAAAACAUAGUUGAAAGUAUCUGUACACUUCUUGACGGUACCUAAUCAAAAAGCACCGGCUAACUACGUC